RNAcentral lists this ribosomal RNA (499 nucleotides) under uncultured bacterium. Its description in RNAcentral is "partial 16S ribosomal RNA". It matches the Rfam family "Bacterial small subunit ribosomal RNA", at positions 28 to 523 of the family's 1533-position model. The record is from RNAcentral.
GAUGAACGCUAGCGGCAGGCUUAAUACAUGCAAGUCGAGGGACAGCACAGGUAGCAAUACUGGGUGGUAACCGGCAAACGGGUGCGGAACACGUACACAACCUUCCUUUAAGUGGGGAUAGCCCAGAGAAAUUUGGAUUAAUACCCCGUAAUAUAGUUGAAUGGCAUCAUUUGAUUAUUAUAGCUACGGCGCUUAAUGAUGGGUGUGCGGCUGAUUAGAUAGUUGGCGGGGUAACGGCCCACCAAGUCUACGAUCAGUAGCUGAUGUGAGAGCAUGAUCAGCGACACGGGCACUGAGACACGGGCCCGACUCCCACGGGAGGCAGCAGUAAGGAAUAUUGGUCAAUGGACGCAAGUCUCAACCAGCCAUGCCGCGUGAAGGAUUAAGGUCCUCUGGAUUGUAAACUUCUUUUAUUUGGGACGAAAAAGGGCCUUUCUAGGUCAACUGACGGUACCAGAUGAAUAAGCACCGGCUAACUCCGUGCCAGCAGCCGCCGCCG